Molecule: ribosomal RNA, 305 nt
Filed under: uncultured bacterium
Lineage: Bacteria
Description: bacterial SSU rRNA
Rfam family: Bacterial small subunit ribosomal RNA
Source: RNAcentral
UGAGGCCUACGGGGCGCAGCAGUGGGGAAUAUUGCACAAUGGGGGAAACCCUGAUGCAGCAACGCCGCGUGAGUGAAGAAGUAUUUCGGUAUGUAAAGCUCUAUCAGCAGGGAAGAAAAAAGACGGUACCUGACUAAGAAGCCCCGGCUAACUACGUGCCAGCAGCCGCGGUAAUACGUAGGGGGCAAGCGUUAUCCGGAUUUACUGGGUGUAAAGGGAGCGUAGACGGCUAAUCAAGUCAGAAGUGAAAACCCAGGGCUCAACCUUGGGACUGCUUUUGAAACUGAGUAGCUAGAGUGCAGUAG